RNAcentral lists this ribosomal RNA (468 nucleotides) under uncultured bacterium. RNAcentral describes it as "partial 16S ribosomal RNA". It matches the Rfam family "Bacterial small subunit ribosomal RNA", at positions 28 to 507 of the family's 1533-position model. The record is from RNAcentral.
GACGAACGCUGGCGGCGUGCUUAACACAUGCAAGUCGAACGGAAAGGCCCUGCUUUUGUGGGGUGCUCGAGUGGCGAACGGGUGAGUAACACGUGAGUAACCUGCCCUUGACUUUGGGAUAACUUCAGGAAACUGGGGCUAAUACCGGAUAGGAGCUCCUGCUGCAUGGUGGGGGUUGGAAAGUUUCGGCGGUUGGGGAUGGACUCGCGGCUUAUCAGCUUGUUGGUGGGGUAGUGGCUUACCAAGGCUUUGACGGGUAGCCGGCCUGAGAGGGUGACCGGCCACAUUGGGACUGAGAUACGGCCCAGACUCCUACAGGAGGCAGCAGUGGGGAAUAUUGCACAAUGGGCGGAAGCCUGAUGCAGCAACGCCGCGUGCGGGAUGACGGCCUUCGGGUUGUAAACCGCUUUCGCCUGUGACGAAGCGUGAGUGACGGUAAUGGGUAAAGAAGAACCGGCUAACUACGUG